RNAcentral lists this ribosomal RNA (497 nucleotides) under uncultured bacterium. Its description in RNAcentral is "partial 16S ribosomal RNA". It matches the Rfam family "Bacterial small subunit ribosomal RNA", at positions 28 to 507 of the family's 1533-position model. The record is from RNAcentral.
GAUGAACGCUGGCGGCGUGCCUAAUACAUGCCAGUCGAGCGAACGGACGAGAAGCUUGCUUCUCUGAUGUUAGCGGCGGACGGGUGAGUAACACGUGGAUAACCUACCUAUAAGACUGGGAUAACUUCGGGAAACCGUAGCUAAUACCGGAUAAUAUUUUGAACCGCAUGGUUCAAAAGUGAAAGACGGUCUUGCUGUCACUUAUAGAUGGAUCCGCGCUGCAUUAGCUAGUUGGUAAGGUAACGGCUUACCAAGGCAACGAUGCAUAGCCGACCUGAGAGGGUGAUCGGCCACACUGGAACUGAGACACGGUCCAGACUCCUACGGGAGGCAGCAGUAGGGAAUCUUCCGCAAUGGGCGAAAGCCUGACGGAGCAACGCCGCGUGAGUGAUGAAGGUCUUCGGAUCGUAAAACUCUGUUAUUAGGGAGGAACAUAUGUGUAAGUAACUGUGCACAUCUUGACGGUACCUAAUCAGAAAGCCACGGCUAACUACGUG